RNAcentral lists this ribosomal RNA (253 nucleotides) under uncultured bacterium. Its description in RNAcentral is "partial 16S ribosomal RNA". It matches the Rfam family "Bacterial small subunit ribosomal RNA", at positions 524 to 776 of the family's 1533-position model. The record is from RNAcentral.
UACGUAGGGACCAAGCGUUGUUCGGAUUUACUGGGCGUAAAGGGCGCGUAGGCGGCAAUUCAAGUCAUCUGUGAAAUCUCCGGGCUUAACUCGGAAUGGUCAGGUGAUACUGCUUUGCUAGAGUGCAGAAGGGGCAAUCGGAAUUCUUGGUGUAGCGGUGAAAUGCGUAGAUAUGCGGAGGAACACCGAUGGCGAAGGCAGUCCCCUGGGCCUGUACUGACGCUCAUGCACGAAAGCGUGGGGAGCAAACAGG